RNAcentral lists this ribosomal RNA (520 nucleotides) under uncultured bacterium. Its description in RNAcentral is "bacterial SSU rRNA". It matches the Rfam family "Bacterial small subunit ribosomal RNA", at positions 120 to 674 of the family's 1533-position model. The record is from RNAcentral.
GGGAACAUACCCUUUUCUACGGAAUAGCUCUGGGAAACUGGAAUUAAUACCGUAUACGCCCUACGGGGGAAAGAUUUAUCGGGGAAGGAUUGGCCCGCGUUGGAUUAGCUAGUUGGUGGGGUAAAGGCCUACCAAGGCGACGAUCCAUAGCUGGUCUGAGAGGAUGAUCAGCCACAUUGGGACUGAGACACGGCCCAAACUCCUACGGGAGGCAGCAGUGGGGAAUAUUGGACAAUGGGCGCAAGCCUGAUCCAGCCAUGCCGCGUGAGUGAUGAAGGCCUUAGGGUUGUAAAGCUCUUUCACCGAUGAAGAUAAUGACGGUAGUCGGAGAAGAAGCCCCGGCUAACUUCGUGCCAGCAGCCGCGGUAAUACGAAGGGGGCUAGCGUUGUUCGGAAUUACUGGGCGUAAAGCGCACGUAGGCGGAUAUUUAGGUCAGGGGUGAAAUCCCAGAGCUCAACUCUGGAACUGCCUUUGAUACUGGGUAUCUUGAGUAUGGAAGAGGUAAGUGGAAUUGCGAGU